Ornithorhynchus anatinus (platypus) is the source of this 853-nucleotide long non-coding RNA. RefSeq lists it as uncharacterized. Lineage: Eukaryota; Metazoa; Chordata; Mammalia; Monotremata; Ornithorhynchidae. The record is from RefSeq and is a predicted model, not a curated record. The transcript has 4 exons.
GGACUGCCAACUCAAAGUUGGCCAAGUUAAAUUGGCCCAGCCAAGAUUUGGGGAAUGAGUAGGGAAUUCAGCGGAAGGCUAGGAGAAUCAGAAGAAGCAGGGUACCUCUGGUCAUACUUCUGCCUGCAAUAAUCUCUUUGGUUAUGAAAUGUGAAAGGAUGACGUGAGUUUUUUGAGUGCCGCUGGGGCCCUAGGGACUUCCACUCCAAGUGCUCAUGUAGUGACCAAACAGGCGAAAGGUGCAGCCAGAUCUUCUGGGUCCAGUCUCUAGGUGCUGCCUCUCCAGAUUCCGGUUUGUGAUGAGCAAGUGAGAGACCAAAGAGACUUGAAAUGGUGGCAAGGAGCCCACGAUACCCACUGUUUGGCCUUACCCAGGCUGAAGCCGCCCUGCUAUCAGCGAUGAAGAAGAGGUUGAGGAAGCCAGACCCAGAAUUGAAGUUACUUGGUAGUCAACGCCUGCCAGAUCUCAUCUAGACCAGAGAACACACCACUUCCUCUUGGAACCCACUUGGAACUGCCCGAGGCCAGUGUUUGCUUUAGGCAAUAACAUUUCUGAGGUUCCCACUAGAGAAUCACCUCAAAGCCACCUACGGACAGAUCAGCUCCGUAGAGGACGUCAGUGCCGAAUCUGAGACAAGGCAGUGGAGAUUUAGCACGAGACCGUGAGAUUGUGGAAAAAGCCACUGGCUCACUCUUCUGCCAAGGCACGGUUAUUGCUGAGAGCUGAGAUCCAAACUGAUCUUUUCAUCUCCAAAUUGGGUGCUGGAUCACUAAGCUAUCAGGGUUAGCACCGAGGACUCAGACGGCUUGGGCUUUGUAAUGGUAUUUCAUAUUCUAUACGAGAUUCAGAAAA